UUCGUGAGUUGAAGCAAGGGAAACUGAAUUCAGAAGCUAGAUCAAGCAAGUAGCAACUCUCUUGAGGCUCCAUAACAAGCUUUCAAGGUCGGAUUCAUGGGAGAUCACGGUAAUUUCGAAAUUCCCUAAACUAUGUGUUUAAUUUGGAAAUGCACGAUUAAGGGCAUAAAAUUUGUUUUUGUUUCAUCAAUUGGUAUCAGAGCCCAUGGUUAUGCAUUUCCUUGUAAACCAUAGUUGAUUUUUUGGUGAAAUCUCACUCAUGGAAUUUUUCCUUUAAUUUCGGAUUUUUCAGAUUUUUUGAAUUUGAGCAUAUUUGAUCAAAUCGUUGUUAAAUAAUGCAUGAGUGAUGAUUUUGGAGCAAAGAUAUAAUUUUUCCGUGAUUUUUGGUGGCCAAAAUCGGAAUGGUAUGAAUGAGGUUACUGUAAAUUCACUGUAGCAACACUGUUGAGACAUCCCGAGGUUGAAGAUGACAUGGUGGGAUAAUUUCGUUUGGAUCCCUCAUGUAUAAGUGGAAGGAUGCCCAUGCACGAAUAAGGGCAUGGACAUCCUUUUGUUAUUGUUUCAAAAUUCCCACUGACUCAGCAUAUAUAUGUGGAUUCAAAUAAUCCCAUAUGCGUCACAUGCUCCUUAAAUACUUUUGGAGCUAAAGCUUUAGUCAGUGGAUCGGCUAACAUGAGUUCUGUAGGGAUAUACUCUACUGAUACACAAGAUAGAGCAAUUUUCUCUCUCACAAACAAGUAUUUAAUAUCAAUAUGCUUAGAACGUGAGGAACUCCUGUGUUGUGAGAAAAAGAAACAGCCGCAGAAUUAUCACAGUAUAUUUUUAAUGGUCUCGGUACGGCCAAUAUACAAUCUAGCCCUAUGAUAAAAUUCUGCAUCCAUAAAGCAUGACGUGUAGCCUCAAAACAUGCUACAUAUUCUGCUUCCAUUGUUGAAGAAGCUAUGAGUGUCUGCUUGACACUUUUCCAUGAUAUAGCUCCUUCUGCCAUCAUAAAGAUGUAACAUGAUGUGGAUUUCUUGUCUUCCAAGCACCCUGCAAAAUCAACAUCAGAAUAUCCAACUAUAUUCAAAUAGUCAGAUUGCUGAUAUGUCAAUACAAAAUCUUUAGUGGCUUGCAAAUAUCCGAGUACUUUCUUUGCAGCCUUCCAGUGUUUAAAUCCAAGAUUGCUCAGGUAUCUACCAAGUACUCCCACUGGAAAAACAAUACCAGGGCGAGUACAGACUUGAGCAUACAUCAGGCUACCCACAACGGAUGCAUACGGGACUGUUGACUCCUCUGAGUUGCUACUUGCUUGAUCUAGCUUCUGAAUUCAGUUUCCCUUACUUCAGCUCACAGAUCGACUUUGCUUCUCUAAGUUACUGUACACACAAACACACACACGGGAGAGAAGAGGGAGAGAGAGGUGCACUGCACACAUGCCACUGAUUUUUCCAACAGUUAACUCCCAAUGGGCUGAAGUUACUUAAAUACAGCGGUUGAGCGCAUGGACCC
This 1491-nucleotide long non-coding RNA is filed under the name Citrus x clementina. RNAcentral's name for it is "Citrus clementina (C. clementina) long non-coding RNA (CCLE_LNC002323)". The record is from RNAcentral. Lineage: Eukaryota; Viridiplantae; Streptophyta; Magnoliopsida; Sapindales; Rutaceae.